Molecule: ribosomal RNA, 386 nt
Filed under: uncultured bacterium
Lineage: Bacteria
Description: partial 16S ribosomal RNA
Rfam family: Bacterial small subunit ribosomal RNA
Source: RNAcentral
CCUACGGGAGGCAGCAGUGAGGAAUAUUGGUCAAUGGGCGCGAGCCUGAACCAGCCAAGUCGCGUGAGGGAAGACGGUCCUAUGGAUUGUAAACCUCUUUUGUCGGGGAGCAAAAGACGCCACGCGUGGCGUUCCGAGAGUACCCGAAGAAAAAGCAUCGGCUAACUCCGUGCCAGCAGCCGCGGUAAUACGGAGGCUGCGAGCGUUAUCCGGAUUUGUUGGGGUAAAAGGGAGGGCAGGCGGAAGUUCAAGUCAGGGGUAAAAUUGAGGGGCCCAAGCUCUAAGAGCCGUUGAAACUGGUUAUCUGGAGUGUGCGAGAGGAUAGUGGAAUGCGUGGUGUAGGAGUGAAAUGCGUAGAUAUCACGAGGAACACCAGUGGCGAAGGC